Molecule: long non-coding RNA, 652 nt
Filed under: Parus major (Great Tit)
Lineage: Eukaryota; Metazoa; Chordata; Aves; Passeriformes; Paridae
Description: lncRNA (ENSPMJG00000006371.1)
Source: RNAcentral
AUGCUCCGGGGGAGGACUCAGUUCACCUCGGAGGCCUCCAUCAGCUGCACGAUAUUAUCUCACAGAUCAGAAAGUGCCUCGUUGGGAAGGCAAUUCUCGAGCAUCCCCAGCACAUGGAGAAGGAGGAGUAAGAAAUGCCACCGCUGGCAGCAGUGCCUGGAAGCUCUGCGUUCAGCGGGGGCCCCAGCAUGCGAGGCGGCUCCUCCCGGCCUCGGCCUCCUCCACCGGGGAUGUGGUGGCCGAGAGGCAGCGGGGACGCGGAGCCCGGUGGCGGGUGCUGAGGGGGAAGGGCUGCUGGCUGCUCUGCUAUUAAAAAGUGCCUCCCUGCCACUGGAGAGUUCUCAUCCGGCCGCUCCCGGGAAAUGUACCCCCUCCAUACCGCUGAGAGCAUCGGCGUUCGGAACGGGGAAGGGAUCUGCCUGUCCUCGGCGAUAGGAACAUGCAGCCCUUUGUCUCUCUAGACAAGACGGCGAGAACGAGAAUUGCCUGGUCCACACCGUGCUUUCCAAGUUUUUCUGUUCUCCUGGCCGGACUCCUCUGCUGGUCUCGGGGAAAGCGAGUGAAGGACCGAGCUGGAAAAAAUCCUCGCUGCCAGAAUCCUUGCCAUCCUUGAGUUAAUAAAACACGAACCAGCCGUGGGUCGGAGUUCCCG